UACAGAGGUGGCAAGCGUUGUUCGGAAUUACUGGGCGUAAAGGGCGCGUAGGCGGCCUUGUGAGUCCCGUGUGAAAUCCCCUGGCUCAACUAGGGAAUUGCACGGGAGACUGCUUGGCUUGAGUUCGGGAGAGGGAAGCGGAAUUCCGGGUGUAGCGGUGAAAUGCGUAGAUAUCCGGAGGAACACCGGUGGCGAAGGCGGCUUCCUGGACCGACACUGACGCUGAGGCGCGAAAGCUAGGGGAGCAAACGGG
This 253-nucleotide ribosomal RNA is filed under the name uncultured bacterium. Its description in RNAcentral is "partial 16S ribosomal RNA". It matches the Rfam family "Bacterial small subunit ribosomal RNA", at positions 524 to 776 of the family's 1533-position model. The record is from RNAcentral.